AGGCAAUUGACGUUUCAUACUAGGGCGAGGGGUGUUGAAACGCAUGGAAAAGCAGGAAGAAACACGGACGAGCGCUGAUGAACUGCAACUGUGUGCGUGCAACAGCACCAAACGGCAUGUGGCGACGUACAGUGUAUGGAUGUGUGUGUGUUAUUUUAGGCAGCGAAGAUGGAUCGAGGUUAUGUUUACAAAGUGAAAGAGUUUGAUGCAGAAGCGUCUUCGUGAUAAACAUGUAUUUUAGUUGCAUAAUUUCAGUGUUAAAGUUUGUAAUGUGAACUUAAAAGUAAUGACCAUAGGUGCUAUUCACUUGUGUGCUGUUGGCGAAUAUUGAAGCGUUGAAAUAUUUAAGCUUCAUAUGUUUGUUUGUUGUGCUUAGUGUGAAGCAAAAAUGUGUGCUAAAGUGUUAUAAAUUAGAAAUAUGUAUACGUAUCCGUCUAAUGUUCGGUUGUACCUAUCUAAUUUUCCAUAUUUUUGGGUGUCCUUAUCCUUUACCAGGAGAAAACUAUAGAUGGAGGUUAGAUACGUGCAGCUAUUUGCCUCCGCAGGAAGAUAUGUUAAUUAAAGUUGUUGUAUUUGUAAUUUUUCAUUACGCUGCAAUUAAAUAACUUAUCGUAUAAAAUUUGCCGUUUAACAUUAUGAAUAAUCGAUGUUAUCAGUGUUCUUCAGAAGUGUUCCAAGCUGUCCGAAGACACACAAAUCCGCAAUCCACAAUCCAAGCACACAAAUCCGAUUCACCUCGUAUGCACCCAGCGGAUUUCAUGCGAAGGAUAUUGGAAAGCCAUCAAAGAAGUGGGCAUGAUGGUAAGGAAACUUUGAUUCUUUUUACUUUUAGAUUUCUUAUCCUUAUUUUUGUUUACAACAACCUGAGAUCGUCGGUGCGGGCCUUAUGGGAACUGCGCGGUCAGAGCAAUAACCGGAUGAGCAUUUCGUUUCAGGUGGAAAUUAUAUCAAGUUUGUGAAUUGAGGAGAGUUACGGCACAUUGUGCCACACUAAAUAAAUUUAUUUUUAUUUCUUCCUUCUAUGGCAGCUUGUUUUAACAUUUCCCUGUAUGUUUACUCUUGCCGGUGCUUGUGUCAGUUUUCAUUUUAAAUAUUCUUUAUCAUAUUCUUUAUCUAUGUCUAUUCCCACGUGGUUUGUGGCGAUAGACUUAAAUAAGCACUGUAUUUGGGUAGUUACUAAAAGCUAUUUUUUCCUGACGAUCCUUCCCAGCUACACCGUGCAAGAAAAGUCCCAUCAAACAACACGUCUAAAGCCUCAUGCAUCCUGUUGUUGGCAUCCUGGCGGCUGAUAUCUGCAUCUAUUAUUUAAGUAUAACUGCAAAAUGCAAAAUCAUCUCCAGCUAUUUUUGCUUCAAAUGCAUCAAACUUUUGUUCAUUUUCGAUUUUUUCUAUUGCUAAACUCUGCGCAUUUCUUCUCAUACCCUUCAUAGGAUUCAGUAUUGUGGACUGCUAAUUUAAAAUAACCAUAAUCUGUGCGCUGCGUGCAUCUAUUUUCAUUAACAGCAUCCGACAACGAAGGCAGCAGCUUCCAGAAUGCUCUGUAGAAGUAAUUGAAAGGACUGCUUGAUUUGCUCCUGCUGCAGCCUGGUGUUCAUAGUCGGUGAUCAUCAUUAUUGGUGAUGAAGGCAGCACAGGCAAAUUUAUCACAACAGGACCAGUUGCUCGUUCAGUCGUUAUGUACGAUGUACCGGUGCUUGUCGAUGGCACUUGGUUACCACCAUCAACUAUCUUGCCUGGCGGACGGAUCUGGCUAGGAAAACAGGUAAAAAAUUGCUCAGAUAUAGCAGUACUCGUUGAUGGUUUUUGAACAUUAACGCUGAUCAUUUUGGGUGGUGUACAGCUCACAAUACAAACAGAUCCUCUAGCAGCCGCUAUCACCGAUGCAGAAGCACUGGUGGGUAAUUGUUGUCUUACAACAGCGGACAUCAUACCACGCUGAUUCUUCGGAGCAUGAACUUCGACAAGCGAUGCAAUCGAUGGUACUGCAGAUCCCGCCAAUGCCUGUUGUCUACCGAUCUUCAUGCCUGAUUCCUGCGGUAGAGCAUCAGCAACCGGUACCACUGAUGGACGGAACGGACGGAACGGACGGAAUGGUACAGGAACACCAGGUAAUGUUGACCGAUGAUGAUUACCAUCACCGGCAUUCGAGACCAGCGCUGACACUUCAUCCGUUACCUUCACCUGUUCAACAACACGGACUGGCAUUCUUUGUUGACUCGCGCUGAACGGCCACUGAAACCACCGAAGGCACUGCACUUGUUGUCGGAAGUUGUCCAACAACACGCACCGGCAAUCCGGGAGGACGGAUAGCACGAGGAAUGGCAACCGGAACCACCGAUGGCACUGCAUUUGUCGUCGGAAGUUGUCCAACAACACGGACUGGUACAUCUGACUGACGAAGCUACUUAUCACAUACCCGCAUUUUAUGUCCCCAUUCUUGGUGUUUCCGGGUUACUCGCCAUCGCGCUGUAGUCGGAUCAUACUGCACCUGUCCUGCUUCGAUUAAUGUCUCCCCAAAGACAAAAUUAGAGCACGCGUUCCUAUUCCUCAUCCUCCGGCACCGUCUGGAGAAUGUGGGAGUCACUGCUCUAUAAAAACCACCGGACUACCACAAACUGGAAACAGCGGAAAACCCCGUGGGUCACCGGCCACCGUGCUAAAUUGAAGCAAAGUUGAACUAAUAUGCCGUGCGAAAAAGCAAAAUAAAUUUUUCAUUUUAAUGUUUAUUAAGCUACACCGACAUUAUAUUUUUCAUCUAAAACGUUUUUGAUGUGUUUUUUCUCAUUGCGUUUAGGCGUCGUGUAUCAGAUCGCAACUGCUAAUAAUUUCGUCGUCUGAGACGGACUGUUAUGGAGGUACAAAAUCUUCAGUGAUGCGUUCACGCAUCUACGAGCCGGUAAUUGGCGGUAUCCAGAUCAUCGUCGUACUGUUAGCUUACCUAAGCUACCGAAAUUAGCGACAGUGUAAAAUCUGUGCUGUGAGACCUACAGUUGCCUCUCACAACCGUCCGGAAGUCGCAGUGAUUUGGUAACAUCAAGUGCAUCACCACCGCACGAAGCGCAGCAUAUUGACGCAAGCCCAAGCGGACAGCAACCAACUGCAGCAAACGUACGCCGAACGAAUGGUCGUGGUAGACGCGUUAGGAUUGCAAGGCGAUACUUGCGCUCUGAAACAGAUGUUUGGACCACAGAGGUGACGUUCCGAGAUUGUAAAAACAUGUCGGGCCCACAGUUUCAGAUAAGCCGUUCUCAUCAAUGCCAUACCAUGUACGGUCGGCUAGUUACACUUCAUCACGAAGGACAAUCACAUCUGGGUCACGGAAUGCUGCCAAAACGAUGAAGCUGGUUUAGUCCUCGAUGACGACGCAACUCCUGCACGUUCGUCGUCAUACUAUCAUUUCAACUGGAGGCAUGUUUGUUUAGGCGGCUACAACAAAUUGUUUGAACAUGUUCAAAACAACAUGGCUUCUCACAAUUACUGGUGAAUGCUGGAAAUCUCCGUGAUAGCCAUUUUCGUGCGCUGAAUUAGGUUUGUAUGAAAAAUAGUGUAUUUUUAGAAUAUUUAAUUAUCAAUAAAAUAACGGUCGAUUUGAAAA
Molecule: long non-coding RNA, 3595 nt
Organism: Anopheles gambiae (African malaria mosquito)
Lineage: Eukaryota; Metazoa; Arthropoda; Insecta; Diptera; Culicidae
Exons: 6
Source: RefSeq, a predicted model, not a curated record